This 427-nucleotide ribosomal RNA is filed under the name Rhizobium sp. BAB-3036. RNAcentral's name for it is "bacterial SSU rRNA". It matches the Rfam family "Bacterial small subunit ribosomal RNA", at positions 38 to 517 of the family's 1533-position model. Lineage: Bacteria; Pseudomonadati; Pseudomonadota; Alphaproteobacteria; Hyphomicrobiales; Rhizobiaceae. The record is from RNAcentral.
GGCGGCAGGCUUAAACAUGCAAGUCGAGCGCCCCGUAGGGGAGCGGCGCACGGGUGAGUAACGCGUGGGAACGUACCCUUUGCUACGGAAUAGCUCCGGGAAACUGGAAUUAAUACCGUAUGUGCCCUACGGGGGAAAGAUUUAUCGGCAAAGGAUCGGCCCGCGUUGGAUUAGCUAGUUGGUGGGGUAAUGGCCUACCAAGGCGACGAUCCAUAGCUGGUCUGAGAGGAUGAUCAGCCACAUUGGGACUGAGACACGGCCCAAACUCCUACGGGAGGCGCAGUGGGGAAUAUUGGACAAUGGGCGCAAGCCUGAUCCAGCCAUGCCGCGUGAGUGAUGAAGGCCUUAGGGUUGUAAAGCUCUUUCACCGGAGAAGAUAAUGACGGUAUCCGGAGAAGAAGCCCCGGCUAACUUCGUGCCCCAGCCC